This 23-nucleotide non-coding RNA is filed under the name Arabidopsis thaliana (thale cress). The record is from RNAcentral. Lineage: Eukaryota; Viridiplantae; Streptophyta; Magnoliopsida; Brassicales; Brassicaceae.
CAUGCUUUGAAAUGUGUGUGCCA